CAGUGAUGGUUGUACAAAUUUGUGAAUAUACUAAAAACCACUGAAUUGUACACUUUUAAAGAAUGUGUUUUAUGUAUGUGAAUUAUAUCUUUUAGAAAGUUAUAUUUUAAAAAGAACUAUGUAUGAUUCAGCUAAAACCGGAGACUUUUUAAAGCUAAUUUGUUUCCUGGAAUCUCUCUACCUCUCCAAGCCUGGAAGAAGGAUUAACUGUCAUCUCACUGGAAGACUGUGUCUCUUUCUAGCUGUUUGUAGUGGCCUGUGCUGAAGUGUCUGCCCU
RNAcentral lists this long non-coding RNA (277 nucleotides) under Papio anubis (olive baboon). Its description in RNAcentral is "lncRNA (ENSPANG00000049792.1)". Lineage: Eukaryota; Metazoa; Chordata; Mammalia; Primates; Cercopithecidae. The record is from RNAcentral.